Molecule: ribosomal RNA, 253 nt
Filed under: uncultured bacterium
Lineage: Bacteria
Description: partial 16S ribosomal RNA
Rfam family: Bacterial small subunit ribosomal RNA
Source: RNAcentral
UACGUAGGUCGCAAGCGUUAUCCGGAAUUAUUGGGCGUAAAGGGAGCGUAGGCGGUUUAAUAAGUCUGAUGUGAAAGCCAACGGCUCAACCGUUGAACUGCAUUGGAAACUAUUAAACUAGAAUAUAGGAGGGGAAACUGGAAUUCCAUGUGUAGCGGUGAAAUGCGUAGAUAUAUGGAGGAACACCAAUGGCGAAGGCAGGUUUCUGGACUAUAAUUGACGCUGAGGCUCGAAAGCGUGGGUAGCAAACAGG